Molecule: long non-coding RNA, 1429 nt
Filed under: Homo sapiens (human)
Lineage: Eukaryota; Metazoa; Chordata; Mammalia; Primates; Hominidae
Description: HSALNT0353226
Source: RNAcentral
GGCGGCCAGAUAAGACAAUAAAAGCAGGCUGCAGGAGCCAGCAGCGGCAAACCGCUCGGCUUCCCGGCUGUGUUCUUUGGCUGUUUGCUGUAAAUCUUGCUACUGCUCACUCUUGGGGUCGACACUUCCUUUAUGAGCUGUAACACUCACCGUGAAUGUCUGCAGCUUCACUCUUGAAGCCAUGGAGACCACGAACCCACCGGAAGGAAGGAACAACUCCAGACGCGCCGCCUUAAGAGCUGUAACACUCACCGCGAAAGUCUGCAGCUUCACUCCUGAGCCAAGGAGACCACGAACCCACCAGAGGAAAGAAACUCUGAACACAUCCGACCAUCAGAAGGAACAAAUUCCGGAGUGCUGCCUUUAAGAACUGUAACACUCAGCGCGAGCGUCCGCAGCUUCAUUCUUCAAGGGAUGACAGCAUUGUGAUCACAAACCUUCAAAGGAUCUUCUGUCUUCAAGGCAAAAUGUUUUUAAAAAGCCAAAAAGUAGUCAUAAGAAACUGCUAACAGAAUAACGAGGAAUGUAAAAUGUCAGCCUUCACCUAUUAAUAAUUGUUACAGCAUAUUACGUCUCUGACUGAAUCUUCUACAAACAAGCAAUUAAGGUAAUCUUCAUCACAGGAGGUAGUUUGAAGAAGUCAAAGCCACAACGUAUUUCAAACAGCUGGGGAACAGCAGAAAUACUGGAGGAAAAAGCCAACAUCCUGUGAGCUGGUGUUAUUGUAGAAUUUAAAAAUAACUGUCGAGAUGGAACACAAUCAUUUAUGAGGCACCAAAUUAGAUUCUUGGGUCGCUACAGUUGUUCAGAGGACAGAACGGAGAUUUCUAGAUGUUACCUUGGCAAUGAAGUAAAGCAAUUGCUUGUGGACGUUGUUAGCUUGUGAAGGUGGUCAAGAUUCAAAUUCGCAGGUCAUCAUAGAGGGGAAAAUAAAACUUCCAAAGUGUUUCUAAUUUGUCCUAUUCUUGAAUAUAUAUUUAAAAUUAGGAGAUGUGUAUUUUCACUAAGUUCUUCAAUACGGGACUUCAAACCUGUCCUACUCUUCAAGCUCUUUUGAGUGUAAGGCUAAUGCACACAUAUCCAUACCCACUCAGGCACUAAGAAGACUACUCCUUGCCUCUGGCUUAGCCCUGAUUCUGGCUGUGCCACUUUUAUUCCCUUAUUUGGUGUUGUGUGAUGUUUCACUGGGCAGGUUUAAUGGCCUUCACAAAGUAUCCAUCUGAUCUAUCCACUCAGUGAUUUUUAUCAUUGUAAGUAAACUUUGCCCAUUCUACCUACCUCGAGAAAAGAUACAUUGACUUGAAACUAACAUGGUUUUGUGAUUUCUAGCAGGCACCAGGCCCCAUUUCACCAAUUUUUUAUUAGCCCAAGUGUAGCAGAUCCUGUCAGUGUCUGGCCCAUUUCCCCUGGCCAUACCCUCCACAAUUUU